This 200-nucleotide ribosomal RNA is filed under the name uncultured bacterium. RNAcentral's name for it is "partial 16S ribosomal RNA". It matches the Rfam family "Bacterial small subunit ribosomal RNA", at positions 328 to 539 of the family's 1533-position model. The record is from RNAcentral.
ACGCUCGACACCUACGGGGGCAGCAGUCGGGAAUAUUGCGCAAUGGAGGAAACUCUGACGCAGUGACGCCGCGUGCAGGAAGAAGGUUUUCGGAUUGUAAACUGCUUUAGACAGGGAAGAAAGAAAUGACAGUACCUGUAGAAUAAGCUCCGGCUAACUACGUGGCAGCAGCCGCGGUAAUCUGAGCGGGCUGGCAAGGC